UUUUGGUGGUUGGGUAGGGGAGCGUCGCGUGACUGCUGUGAAGCGCUGGGGUAACCCUAGUGUGGAGUGUGCGCGAGUGAGAAUGCAGGCAUGAGUAGCGAAUGAGGAGUGGAAAACUCCUCCGCCGAAUGACUAAGGGUUCCUGGGCCAGGUUAAUCCUCCCAGGGUGAGUCGGGACCUAAGGCGAGGCCGACAGGCGUAGUCGAUGGAUAACGGGUUGAUAUUCCCGUACCCGUGUGUCCGCGCCCAUGGUGAAUCAGGGAUACUAACCCACCUGAACACGCGCCGUUUACUAGCCUUUUAGGUUGGUUGGUGUGUGUGAUGCUGGGGACCUGAACUGGUAGUAGCCAAGUGAUGGGGUGACGCAGGAAGGUAGCCGUGCCACGUGAUGGAUAUCGUGGUGUAAGCGUGUGGCCCGUGUUCUAGGUAAAUCCGGAGCACAUGUGGGUGAGGCGUGAUGCGUACCCGUUUUGGGGAAGUUGGUGAUCCUAUGCUGCCGAGAAAAGCCUCUAGCGAUGUGGAUAUACGGCCCGUACCCGAAACCGACACAGGUAGUCAGGUAGAGAAUACUAAGGCGAUCGGGAGAACUGUGGUUAAGGAACUCGGCAAAAUGCCCCCGUAACUUCGGGAGAAGGGGGGCCAUGACUGGUGACCGACGUGGUUGAGCUGGUUGUGGCCGCAGAGAAUAGAGGGAAGCGACUGUUUACUAAAAACACAGGUCCGUGCGAAGACGGGUAAGUCGAUGUAUACGGACUGACGCCUGCCCGGUGCUGGAAGGUUAAGAGGACCUGUUAGACCCCUUUGCGGGUCGAAGCGGAGAAUUUA
RNAcentral lists this ribosomal RNA (825 nucleotides) under Corynebacterium sp. HMSC14H10. RNAcentral describes it as "bacterial LSU rRNA". It matches the Rfam family "Bacterial large subunit ribosomal RNA", at positions 1215 to 1915 of the family's 2925-position model. Lineage: Bacteria; Bacillati; Actinomycetota; Actinomycetes; Mycobacteriales; Corynebacteriaceae. The record is from RNAcentral.